RNAcentral lists this non-coding RNA (24 nucleotides) under Arabidopsis thaliana (thale cress). The record is from RNAcentral. Lineage: Eukaryota; Viridiplantae; Streptophyta; Magnoliopsida; Brassicales; Brassicaceae.
CAUUCUUCAGGUGACUGUACCACA